GUUAUAUGGUCAAGCGAAUAAGCGCACACGGUGGAUGCCUUGGCGGUCAGAGGCGAUGAAGGACGUGGCAGCCUGCGAAAAGUAUCGGGGAGCUGGCAACAAGCUUUGAUCCGGUAAUGUCCGAAUGGGGAAACCCACCCGCUUGCGGGUAUCCUGCAGUGAAUACAUAGCUGCUGGAAGCGAACCUGGUGAACUGAAAUAUCUAAGUAACCAGAGGAAAAGAAAUCAACCGAGAUUCCGUAAGUAGCGACGAGCGAACGCGGACUAGCCCUUAAGCUGGAUUGGUUCUAGGAAAACGCUCUGGAAAGAGCGGCCAUAGAAGGUGAUAGCCCUGUAUCUGAAAGGGCCAUUCCAGUGAAGACGAGUAGGGCGGGGCACGUGAAACCCUGUCUGAACAUGGGGGGACCAUCCUCCAAGGCUAAAUACUACUGACCGACCGAUAGUGAACCAGUACCGUG
RNAcentral lists this ribosomal RNA (458 nucleotides) under Salmonella enterica. RNAcentral describes it as "partial 23S ribosomal RNA". It matches the Rfam family "Bacterial large subunit ribosomal RNA", at positions 1 to 505 of the family's 2925-position model. The record is from RNAcentral. Lineage: Bacteria; Pseudomonadati; Pseudomonadota; Gammaproteobacteria; Enterobacterales; Enterobacteriaceae.